This 234-nucleotide RNase MRP RNA is filed under the name Prorocentrum minimum. RNAcentral's name for it is "partial RNase MRP". It matches the Rfam family "RNase MRP". Rfam says of the family: RNase MRP is an enzymatically active ribonucleoprotein with two distinct roles in eukaryotes. In mitochondria it plays a direct role in the initiation of mitochondrial DNA replication. Lineage: Eukaryota; Dinophyceae; Prorocentrales; Prorocentraceae. The record is from RNAcentral.
AAGCACGGCUUCGCAGCGCACGCACGAGGAGCUCGCUCCUCCUCUCAAGCUGCGGGGAAAGUCCCCGUGCCCUUGGGCAGAGAGUGCCGGCGGGAGACCGCGAGGCCCCGGCCUGGCCGUUUGCGGCGAGGCCUCUUGGCGGAGCCAUGGCGGCGGGCUGGGGCCGCUUGCAGCAGCACAGCCAUGCCGUGAGCGCCCUCGAAGGAGGGCGCCAACAGAACGGGGCUCACUCUC